Fundulus heteroclitus (mummichog) is the source of this 1707-nucleotide long non-coding RNA. RefSeq lists it as uncharacterized. The transcript has 3 exons. The record is from RefSeq and is a predicted model, not a curated record. NCBI's taxonomy places the organism in Eukaryota, Metazoa, Chordata, Actinopteri, Cyprinodontiformes, Fundulidae.
CUUGCAGUUAUUCCUAAUUUUUCCUGUUUUAAACUUACCAAUUCUUGCUCUGUGAGUUAAGCUUAUGGGUGAAAUGUGUAGAGUGCAUUUAAAGCUGCUUUGCUAUGAGCUAAACCUCUAAUUUCAGACCUACUUUAAUAAAUCACCUAAAUGUUUGGUUUCCAGUCUGAGAUGAAGAAGGACCGCCUGAAUCUGAUGGCAGCUCUGUGUGAGAGCGUGUUGGCAGUCAACAUGUUACUGAGUGUCUUCUUUCUUCCAGGUGCUUUGGCUGAUUGUCCCGAUCCAGUCCUCUUUGCUGACACACCUGGGCAGAUUGAAGCACUGAGUGGAUCUUGUUUGCUACUGCCAUGCAGCUUUAAUUCAACGGAUUCCACAUAUGACAAGACCAGAAGUAUUUAUGGAAUUUGGUUGAGAGGAAAUCAUAAAUAUAAUGCCAACCCAAGCCUUAUCAUUUUUAGCAGCAGUGGCUCACUGAAAAUGAUCAGAAACCUGAGAGAGAAAAAACUGCACUACUUUUCUGAUUUAAAGACAAGUUUUACAGACAGAUACUUCUUCAGAGUUGAGAAUGGGAAGUACAGAUCAACAGUUUGUGAUUAUCCUCUUCACAUAACAGUUAAAGAACGCACAAGGAGCAGAUGAUGGCAACAAAGUGUUGGAGCUUCAGGCAUCAUGAUCGUGACCUUGUCAGAGGAUUUCUUCUUUCCAUCCAUCCAACCAUUGCAAGUUCAAGGUCACAGCAGGAACUGGUGUCUGUCUCCAGGCCAGAAGAGGAGUCCAGCCUGGACAGCUCACCGGUCCAUCACAGGCCCAACCAUCGUGUCAUGGAAGGGAUUUCUGAUGUCUUCACUGUCACCUUUGACUGUACAUGUGUUAUAAAGUGAAACACAAUACUUUGGUGGAUCAUGCAAAGGAGGAUUCCUCUAAGUAAGAAAUGGAAAUGUUUUUUAGUACAACUAGAAUGUUUUUUUUUCAGUGUUACUUUUAAUUUAUGGUCAUUUUACCUGAUGUUUAAUAUUCAAGACAAGAUUUUAAAGGAUUUUGUUGACCUGUAUAAAAAUUAAAUUAGAUAUAAAACAUUGCCCCAAAACAUUGGAUUCAACUGGAAGUUGAAUCCAAUGUUUAAAAUUAAAAUUAAAAUACUGUGAUGCAGAAAAGGGCAACAUCAUUUAUACAUUUAUUCUACAUGAAACCAAAUUUAACACCAGCUCCAAGUUUCUCCAGGUGUGGUCCUUGUUCCUCUGGUGUUCCUCAGGGUAAAACUCCUGAAUUUUCAGAGCUCCAGUCUUCAUCAGGUCAACAUGAGGCCUUAAAUCACGUUUUUCACAUUUUAAACAAUGUUUACUGAAACAAAGAUUACAGAGAGUCACUUUUCCUGAUUAUCAGCCUUGGCCUAUUUUAAUGUUGACUUUGCUUCAGUUGUCACAUCGUGACUCUGUCCUAUCAGGUAUUGCUCCUGUUUCUGAAACUCGUUUCCUUUUCUCCUGUCUCUCUCUUCUUGUUGCCUGAAAUGUUUUAGUCUCUGCCUGCAAACUAAACUCCAUCAGCUGCAUUCAGACUCUUAUUAUUUGUUCAAACAGGACUGGAAAAAUAUAUUUUCAUCCUUAAUUAUACGGUGAAUUUUGUUAUACAUAUAAUCUUGUACUAAACAUUUGUUUUGUUAGAAAGUAAAAUUAUCGAUUGAGAUUUUAACGCCCUCUGGUGUACACA